GUUGCGGUGGCCGAGCGGUUAAGACGUUGGACUAGAAAUCCAAUGGGAUCUUCCCGCGCAGGUUCGAGUCCUGCCGGCAACG
Nematostella vectensis (starlet sea anemone) is the source of this 82-nucleotide non-coding RNA. Lineage: Eukaryota; Metazoa; Cnidaria; Anthozoa; Actiniaria; Edwardsiidae. The record is from Rfam.